Non-coding RNA from Rattus norvegicus (Norway rat), 69 nucleotides. NCBI's taxonomy places the organism in Eukaryota, Metazoa, Chordata, Mammalia, Rodentia, Muridae. The record is from Rfam.
GGGGAUUUAGCUCAGUGGUAGAGCGCUUGCCUAGCAAGCACAAGGCUCUGGGUUCAGUCCCCAGCUCCG